RNAcentral lists this ribosomal RNA (469 nucleotides) under uncultured bacterium. RNAcentral's name for it is "partial 16S ribosomal RNA". It matches the Rfam family "Bacterial small subunit ribosomal RNA", at positions 28 to 507 of the family's 1533-position model. The record is from RNAcentral.
GAUGAACGCUGGCGGCGCGCCUAACACAUGCAAGUCGAACGGUUAAAGCACCUUUUAGGUGUGUAUAAAGUGGCGAACGGCUGAGUAACACGUGGGCAACCUGCCCUCCUCUUGGGGAUAGCCUCGGGAAACCGAGGAUAAUACCCGAUACUUCAAUGUGGCCGCAUGACGACAUUGAGAAAGCCUUUGCGGAGAAGGAUGGGCCCGCGGCCUGUUAGCUUGUUGGUGGGGUAGAGGCCUACCAAGGCAAUGAUGGGUAGCUGGGUUGAGAGACCGACCAGCCAGAUUGGGACUGAGACACGGCCCAGACUCCUACGGGAGGCAGCAGUGGGGAAUCUUGCACAAUGGGCGAAAGCCUGAUGCAGCGACGCCGCGUGCGGGACGAAGGCCUUCGGGUUGUAAACCGCUUUCAGCAGGGACGAGGCGAUAAGUGACGGUACCUGCAGAAGAAGCCCCGGCUAACUACGUG